GGGGCUGUAGCUCAGCUGGAUAGAGCAACCGCCUCCUAAGCGGUAGGUCGCGCGUUCGAAUCGCGCCAGUCCCG
Leptolyngbya sp. Heron Island J is the source of this 74-nucleotide transfer RNA. It matches the Rfam family "tRNA". From Rfam's summary of the family: Transfer RNA (tRNA) molecules are approximately 80 nucleotides in length. Their secondary structure includes four short double-helical elements and three loops (D, anti-codon, and T loops). Lineage: Bacteria; Bacillati; Cyanobacteriota; Cyanophyceae; Leptolyngbyales; Leptolyngbyaceae. The record is from Rfam.